Long non-coding RNA from Sphaeramia orbicularis (orbiculate cardinalfish), 462 nucleotides. RefSeq lists it as uncharacterized. The record is from RefSeq and is a predicted model, not a curated record. Lineage: Eukaryota; Metazoa; Chordata; Actinopteri; Kurtiformes; Apogonidae. The transcript has 2 exons.
GCCAUGGCAUUGUUAUUCUACUCGUCCCACUUUGAUGUGUUUUUUUCCUUUUGUUUUCGCAGCCACUGGAGCAGUAGUUUAGUUUAUUGAGUUGAGUUAGUUGAGUUAGUUUGGUUCGUCAGUUUAGACCAAAGUUACUCUUAAUGGUUAGUUGGUGGUUGCCACGGUAACUGGGUAGAACGUUGUUAGUUUUUGUUUACAUGUUUGUUUUUGUUUUGUUUACUCUCUUGGGGUUCAGCAUGACAACAGUGUUACCAUGACAACCACACACAGUUGUCACCUGUCAAUCACUCUGUCGUGCCACGUGGAAACACCCACCUGCCCCGCCCACCUGCUUGUCCUCCCUUCAGUUAGACAGUGAACCAAUCAGAUGCUCCCGCUGUUUGACGUCAUGUUGUUUGUGGUUGAUUCUUUCCUGCCUGAAAAUGUCCUCGUUUCAACAGAUUAAAAAAGAAAAGUCAG